GACGAACGCUGGCGGCGUGCUUAACACAUGCAAGUCGAGCGGUAAGGCCCUUUCGGGGGUACACGAGCGGCGAACGGGUGAGUAACACGUGGGUGACCUGCCCUCAGCUCUGGGAUAAGCCUGGGAAACCGGGUCUAAUACCGGAUAUGACUCCAUGACGCAUGUUGUGGGGUGGAAAGCCUUGUGCGGCUGAGGAUGGGCCCGCGGCCUAUCAGCUUGUUGGUGGGGUGAUGGCCUACCAAGGCGACGACGGUAGCCGGCCUGAGAGGCGACCGGCCACACUGGGACUGAGACACGGCCCAGACUCCUACGGGAGGCAGCAGUGGGGAAUCUUGCGCAAUGGGCGAAAGCCUGACGCAGCGACGCCGCGUGA
Molecule: ribosomal RNA, 373 nt
Filed under: uncultured bacterium
Lineage: Bacteria
Description: bacterial SSU rRNA
Rfam family: Bacterial small subunit ribosomal RNA
Source: RNAcentral